RNAcentral lists this ribosomal RNA (304 nucleotides) under uncultured soil bacterium. Its description in RNAcentral is "bacterial SSU rRNA". It matches the Rfam family "Bacterial small subunit ribosomal RNA", at positions 26 to 341 of the family's 1533-position model. The record is from RNAcentral.
AGAUUGAACGCUGGCAGCAUGCCUGACACAUGCAAGUCGAACGGGAGUAGCAAUACUCUAGUGGCGGACGGGUGAGGAAUACGUAGGAAUUUGCCCUUAAGUGGGGGAUAACCCGGGGAACCCGGAUUAAUACCGCAUGACCUCGAAAGAGCAAAGGUGGGGGAUCGCAAGACCUCACGCUUUUGGAGAAGCCUACGUCGGAUUAGCUAGUUGGUGAGGUAAUGGCUCGACCAAGGCGACGAUCCGUAACUGGUCUGAGAGGAUGAUCAGUCACACCGGAACUGAGACACGGUCCGGACUCCGU